AGCUUGCUCCCUGAUGUUAGCGGCGGACGGGUGAGUAACACGUGGGUAACCUGCCUGUAAGACUGGGAUAACUCCGGGAAACCGGGGCUAAUACCGGAUGGUUGUUUGAACCGCAUGGUUCAAACAUAAAAGGUGGCUUCGGCUACCACUUACAGAUGGACCCGCGGCGCAUUAGCUAGUUGGUGAGGUAACGGCUCACCAAGGCAACGAUGCGUAGCCGACCUGAGAGGGUGAUCGGCCACACUGGGACUGAGACACGGCCCAGACUCCUACGGGAGGCAGCAGUAGGGAAUCUUCCGCAAUGGACGAAAGUCUGACGGAGCAACGCCGCGUGAGUGAUGAAGGUUUUCGGAUCGUAAAGCUCUGUUGUUAGGGAAGAACAAGUACCGUUCGAAUAGGGCGGUACCUUGACGGUACCUAACCAGAAAGCCACGGCUAACUACGUGCCAGCAGCCGCGGUAAUACGUAGGUGGCAAGCGUUGUCCGGAAUUAUUGGGCGUAAAGGGCUCGCAGGCGGUUUCUUAAGUCUGAUGUGAAAGCCCCCGGCUCAACCGGGGAGGGUCAUUGGAAACUGGGGAACUUGAGUGCAGAAGAGGAGAGUGGAAUUCCACGUGUAGCGGUGAAAUGCGUAGAGAUGUGGAGGAACACCAGUGGCGAAGGCGACUCUCUGGUCUGUAACUGACGCUGAGGAGCGAAAGCGUGGGGAGCGAACAGGAUUAGAU
This 722-nucleotide ribosomal RNA is filed under the name Bacillus subtilis. RNAcentral's name for it is "bacterial SSU rRNA". It matches the Rfam family "Bacterial small subunit ribosomal RNA", at positions 77 to 783 of the family's 1533-position model. The record is from RNAcentral. Lineage: Bacteria; Bacillati; Bacillota; Bacilli; Caryophanales; Bacillaceae.